RNAcentral lists this ribosomal RNA (446 nucleotides) under uncultured bacterium. RNAcentral's name for it is "bacterial SSU rRNA". It matches the Rfam family "Bacterial small subunit ribosomal RNA", at positions 329 to 792 of the family's 1533-position model. The record is from RNAcentral.
GGCCAGACUCCUACGGGAGGCAGCAGUGGGGAAUAUUGCACAAUGGGGGAAACCCUGAUGCAGCGACGCCGCGUGAGUGAAGAAGUAUUUCGGUAUGUAAAGCUCUAUCAGCAGGGAAGAAAAUGACGGUACCUGACUAAGAAGCCCCGGCUAACUACGUGCCAGCAGCCGCGGUAAUACGUAGGGGGCAAGCGUUAUCCGGAUUUACUGGGUGUAAAGGGAGCGUAGACGGCAUGGCAAGUCAGAUGUGAAAGCCCGGGGCUCAACCCCCGGACUGCAUUUGAAACUGUCAGGCUGGAGUGCAGGAGAGGUAAGUGGAAUUCCUAGUGUAGCGGUGAAAUGCGUAGAUAUUAGGAGGAACACCAGUGGCGAAGGCGGCUUACUGGACUGUAACUGACGUUGAGGCUCGAAAGCGUGGGGAGCAAACAGGAUUAGAUCCCCCGGUA